UGUCUGGGAAACUGCCUGAUGGAGGGGGAUAACUACUGGAAACGGUGGCUAAUACCGCAUAACGUCGCAAGACCAAAGAGGGGGACCUUCGGGCCUCUUGCCAUCAGAUGUGCCCAGAUGGGAUUAGCUUGUUGGUGAGGUAACGGCUCACCAAGGCGACGAUCCCUAGCUGGUCUGAGAGGAUGACCAGCCACACUGGAACUGAGACACGGUCCAGACUCCUACGGGAGGCAGCAGUGGGGAAUAUUGCACAAUGGGCGCAAGCCUGAUGCAGCCAUGCCGCGUGUAUGAAGAAGGCCUUCGGGUUGUAAAGUACUUUCAGCGGGGAGGAAGGUGUUGUGGUUAAUAACCGCAGCAAUUGACGUUACCCGCAGAAGAAGCACCGGCUAACUCCGUGCCAGCAGCCGCGGUAAUACGGAGGGUGCAAGCGUUAAUCGGAAUUACUGGGCGUAAAGCGCACGCAGGCGGUCUGUCAAGUCGGAUGUGAAAUCCCCGGGCUCAACCUGGGAACUGCAUUCGAAACUGGCAGGCUUGAGUCUUGUAGAGGGGGGUAGAAUUCCAGGUGUAGCGGUGAAAUGCGUAGAGAUCUGGAGGAAUACCGGUGGCGAAGGCGGCCCCCUGGACAAAGACUGACGCUCAGGUGCGAAAGCGUGGGGAGCAAACAGGAUUAGAUACCCUGGUAGUCCACGCCGUAAACGAUGUCUACUUGGAGGUUGUGCCCUUGAGGCGUGGCUUCCGGAGCUAACGCGUUAAGUAGACCGCCUGGGGAGUACGGCCGCAAGGUUAAAACUCAAAUGAAUUGACGGGGGCCCGCACAAGCGGUGGAGCAUGUGGUUUAAUUCGAUGCAACGCGAAGAACCUUACCUGGUCUUGACAUCCACAGAACUUUCCAGAGAUGGAUUGGUGCCUUCGGGAACUGUGAGACAGGUGCUGCAUGGCUGUCGUCAGCUCGUGUUGUGAAAUGUUGGGUUAAGUCCCGCAACGAGCGCAACCCUUAUCCUUUGUUGCCAGCGGUCCGGCCGGGAACUCAAAGGAGACUGCCAGUGAUAAACUGGAGGAAGGUGGGGAUGACGUCAAGUCAUCAUGGCCCUUACGACCAGGGCUACACACGUGCUACAAUGGCGCAUACAAAGAGAAGCGACCUCGCGAGAGCAAGCGGACCUCAUAAAGUGCGUCGUAGUCCGGAUUGGAGUCUGCAACUCGACUCCAUGAAGUCGGAAUCGCUAGUAAUCGUGGAUCAGAAUGCCACGGUGAAUACGUUCCCGGGCCUUGUACACACCGCCCGUCACACCAUGGGAGUGGGUUGCAAAAGAAGUAGGUAGCUUAACCUUCGGGAGGGCGCUUACCACUUUGUGAUUCAUGACUGGGGUGAAGUCGUAACAAGGUAACCGUAGGGGAACCUGCGGUUG
Molecule: ribosomal RNA, 1409 nt
Filed under: Salmonella enterica subsp. enterica serovar Typhi
Lineage: Bacteria; Pseudomonadati; Pseudomonadota; Gammaproteobacteria; Enterobacterales; Enterobacteriaceae
Also listed under: 1 other name
Description: bacterial SSU rRNA
Rfam family: Bacterial small subunit ribosomal RNA
Source: RNAcentral